This 499-nucleotide ribosomal RNA is filed under the name uncultured bacterium. RNAcentral's name for it is "partial 16S ribosomal RNA". It matches the Rfam family "Bacterial small subunit ribosomal RNA", at positions 28 to 507 of the family's 1533-position model. The record is from RNAcentral.
GACGAACGCUGGCGGCGUGCCUAAUACAUGCAAGUCGAGCGAAGUUUUUCUGGUGCUUGCACCGGAAAAACUUAGCGGCGAACGGGUGAGUAACACGUAAAGAACCUGCCUCAUAGACUGGGACAACUAUUGGAAACGAUAGCUAAUACCGGAUAACAGCAUUAACUGCAUGGUUGAUGUUUAAAAGUUGGUUUUGCUAACACUAUGAGAUGGCUUUGCGGUGCAUUAGCUAGUUGGUGGGGUAAAGGCCUACCAAGGCGACGAUGCAUAGCCGACCUGAGAGGGUGAUCGGCCACACUGGGACUGAGACACGGCCCAGACUCCUACGGGAGGCAGCAGUAGGGAAUCUUCCGCAAUGGGCGAAAGCCUGACGGAGCAACGCCGCGUGAGUGAAGAAGGAUUUCGGUUCGUAAAGCUCUGUUGUUAGGGAAGAAUGAUUGUGUAGUAACUACACACAGUAGAGACGGUACCUAACCAGAAAGCCACGGCUAACUACGUG